This is a long non-coding RNA of Zingiber officinale, 2682 nucleotides long. RefSeq lists it as uncharacterized. NCBI's taxonomy places the organism in Eukaryota, Viridiplantae, Streptophyta, Magnoliopsida, Zingiberales, Zingiberaceae. The record is from RefSeq and is a predicted model, not a curated record. The transcript has 3 exons.
UUCUAUGAUUUCCUUUCUUCCCCUCCAUUGACCAUGAUCGCUCUGUCCACUCGAUCCCUGACUCUUUUCUUCUUCCCUCGCCAUCGCCAGCGUGGAUCUACCCUCAGAGCUUCAAGAGUGAGCGAUCCUCCUCUUUUCUGAUUUUCGCGAGCUGCAGCGCCGAGUCUUCCUUCUCCCUUUCCAUCACCGGCGGUGCUCCUUCAUUCCCAGCCUCUCCCUCACUGCAUCAUCUGGUGUGUCGCCGCUAGAUCUCAACAGUGCCUGUGUUGUUCAGCCUAUUGCCUGCUAAGCUGCGACCUCUUUCGGCGAUUUCUUGAGUUCGAUUGUUGGCAGUUCUACACCCUAGGGCACUGUCAUCUUCUCUGCUUAUGCCGUUCCUAGUAGAUCAACCAACGACGAUCAUUCUCGUCAAUUUAUUCUUUGAGUAGUGACCCGCGCCACCACAAGCAAGGUCCAGAUCGAGCUCCACCACCGGGGGGCGACCAACCGAGCGUGUUGACAGAAUCUCGCUGAGCAGAUCACUGAUCUCUUCGGGGCUUACUUCUGUAAGAUAUCCAAGUUGGAUAAGAUGGUUGAUUAGGGUUUGGUAUCUACAGAGCAGUGUUUUAUUGGGGUAUAGGCAUUUGAUUACUAUUUGUACAUCAGGGUGAGUUUUCUUCAGUGAUUUUCCUCUAGAUUUUUCUAUUGCUGAUCCAUUCUAUUAGGAUUGUUGAAAUCAAAUUGAUGUCAGAUUAGGUGUUUAAUUGGAGCUACUAUUUUUGGGUGAAUUGAGGGGGAAUCAUGCUUAAACUUAAUCUAGAUUGAUUUUGGAACAUUUAGGGUUUUCCAUCUUAAGCAAUUGUGGAAGGAUUGAAGGUAAUUAAGGAUUUAAUGUGAACCAAGAAGAUGAAUGGUUUAAGCUAGGGUGGGAAAUAGUUCUGAUUCAAUCAAUAGAAGGGAAAUUAACCAGGGUUAGCUAAUGCGUUAGUGUUAGCUAUUUAUCUUGGUGUGUGAUUCAUAUAUUUGCAGUGUAUAUAAUUAGAUAAAUUAUAUAUGUACACGCAAGACCUUGAUCAGUGACGAGCAGCGUGACAUUGGGGUGGGAGGGGAUUCUUUCAGAGACGUAUUAUAUAAAGGUAGGUAUUUCUUCCUGGACUCUUUAGUUCUUUGAACUUAGUGCAUGGUUAUUUUUGAUUGAUGGAUUAGGUUGUUUUACCUUAAAUAUAUCCGUAUGGUUAUCCUGCUUGAUACUUGUGCUUGACCUUUGAGAUGAUAUAUUUAUUUCAUAUACAGUCUUAGCUUUUGAAUAUCUAUACUUGUUGUGUAUAUACAUGUAGAGUAUGUAUGAUAGGGAAUAUCUUGUUGACUGAGUUAACAUGCUAAUUAUGCAUUUGAUGUUGAGUUACACAUGUUGGGUAUGAAUUAUAGGAGUCACCUUGUUGACUGUCUAGUUGCAUGUUGUGUGUGCACACAUGUCUGGUGUUUACUAUUGGAGGAACUAUAUUGAUUGUAUUUAUGUUGCGUGUACAUGUGUCUGACUAUUAGGAAUAUUAUGUCGAUAAUAACUAUAUUGGUGAUUUUGUGUCUGGUGUGAUAUUAGAGGUAUCAUGUUAAUUAUACCUACAUUAUAUGAUGCAUACGUGUGUGGUGUGUACUUGUCUAGUGUUGUAUUAGAUGAAUCAUUGUACUAGAGGUAUUUAUGGUAGAUUAAGGUGUUAUAUUGAUGAUGAUCGUGGUUGUAUCAUGAUUAUUACAUCAUGCUCAUCAUUUGUAUUGCAUGCUGACAAUCAAAUGUCUCCCUUGUGGUUGAAUGGGUUGUCAGUAUUUGUUAGCACUGCAUACUCGACCACUCAUGGGUAGUGGUAGCUAGAGCAAUUGUCGCUUAUCCUGUCGUGCCAUCCGGUCACUAGGGGUUGUGAUAUCCGGCGUUGUGAGCAGUCAGGGACCCCAUUGAUAUGUAGUUAGAUAACUACUUAGCGCAUUAUCACCUCAGCCACUCGAGAGUAGUGUUUUUUGGAGGAUUGUACAAUUGUCAUUAUCCCGACCCUUCAGCCACAUAGGGGUCGUGACAGGUGGAGGGGCGGGCAGGAGUGACACCAUGUGGCAUGCAUGCGCAUUUGCAUAUGAUACGCGGUGUAUCUUGUGGAGAUAUAUUUGUAUACAUGUCUAGUAGAUACUAGCUACAUAUGAUUGUGAUAUGUUGCAUUUGUAUGAGCAAUGAUUGUUGUAUAUGGUUAUCAUGCUUCAUACAUGUCAUUUAUUAUACAUGUAUAUGCUGUCAGUUAUAUUGUUCAGGUAUUACGAGCAGGUUUGUUGAUGAUCUCUGGUGAGUUUACUUUUUAUUACACCAUGUGUAUUCGACAGAUUCGAGUAUAUGCAUUUAUUAUGUCAUUUACGAUCUUGACCUUAUAUGUUAGUUUCAAAUUGGGUAUGUAUAUUUAUUAUAUCAUUUUCGAUCAUGACUUUAUGUGUUAGAUCCAGAUUGGGAUUUAUGUUUAUUAUGUUGUGGGUGAUCAUGAUCUUAUGCAUUAUAUCCAGAUUGGGUAUGUAUAUUCAUUAUAUCGGUUAUGUUUAGAUGUAUUGAUUAUGUCAGUAUAAUCAUAUUCUUAUUUCUCUACUGAGAUUGUAUGUUUUGAUCUCCAUAUUUUUAUAUAGACCAUGCAUUAUCUUGUCUAUUACCUAUUGAGUGACCUGCACUUACCG